RNAcentral lists this ribosomal RNA (264 nucleotides) under uncultured Eubacteriales bacterium. Its description in RNAcentral is "uncultured Clostridiales bacterium partial 16S ribosomal RNA". It matches the Rfam family "Bacterial small subunit ribosomal RNA", at positions 74 to 339 of the family's 1533-position model. The record is from RNAcentral. Lineage: Bacteria; Bacillati; Bacillota; Clostridia; Eubacteriales.
UGGCAACACUUCUGUCGGCGACCGGCGCACGGGUGAGUAACGCGUAUGCAACCUGCCCUUCACAGGGGGAUAACCGGUGGAAACGCCGACUAAUCCACGAUGGGACGAGUUGCUGCAUGGCAUUUAUAUCAAAGAUUUAUCGCUGAAAGAUGGCCUCGCGUCUGAUUAGCUAGUUGGUGAGGUAACGGCCCACCAAGGCGACGAUCAGUAGCCGGACUGAGAGGUUGAACGGCCACAUUGGGACUGAGAUACGGCCCAGACUCC